CUUGGUAUGGGGAAGGCAUCCUCCUCAAAGGAUCUUUUAUGGUUUGCUACAUGUAGGAAAGUACAGGUCAGAUAACCCUUUCCACAACUACAGUUGUUUAAGUGCUUACAGUUCCUUAAAUAAUCAGUAUAUCAAAUCGGCAUAUUUUGGGGUAGAUCAUCCUUAACUCCUUGACUAACAGUUAACAAGUGCUUAUUUGCAACAAUUUUAGAGAUACGGUUUUUUUAUUUAAUCAGCAAUCUAAUGAGGAGUUGCUCUUUGCCCCAUUUUACACAGGAGGAAACUGAAGCUUAAGCCACUCAGCUGAUAAGCAGAAGACCUGGGAUUUCACUGCAGAUCUUUGACUGACCUACUAGAGUUACGUAGAUGGGAUUCUUAAGUAUUUGGGGUGAGGGAAGGGUGUCACAACAAUAGAGCUUGAAAGGUAGUGCCUUUAAAAAUAACAGUCCCAAGAAUGUGCCCCACUAUUGUUUGAUGUAAUUCAAGCCUUAAAUAGCUUUAGUUUGAGGUUUUAGAUUCUGCAGAAGGAAUUGGUUUUUGUAUUUCAGUCCUUCUGAGCUUUGUUCAUUCUAUGGAGCUCCUGCAGUUAUAGAGAAAGCAUAGUGUUUAGGCAUCAGCAGACAUUUACUGAGCACUGUGUGCCAUGCCCUUUUAUUGGGGUUUUAGAAAUGACCUGGCAAGGUCAUUAGCUUAAAUGGACUGGGCAUUUGUAUACUAGGAUCCUAUUCCUAUCUGGGGCUACAAAUUAGAAAUGGCUAUGUGAUUAUGGAAAAACCAGUAGGGAGCCCUCUCAAACCCCCCUGCCAUUGGUGAAAUCAAAGUCAGGACCACAGUUUAAGAACUAGUAUGCUCAUGGUGCAUGGGCUGUGGUGCCAGGGAUUGCAAAACUGGCACUGUCCCCAGGAAAUCCAUACUGUAUGAUCGCUUGUCCAACAGAGGAAAAGCAGAGAAUCCUGAGAUGUCCUAGCUGGAAGGGCUGCGAGUUCACUGGGUUUUCUCCAUUGUAUGACAGAGGAGACAGGCCCAGAGAGGGGAAGGGACUUGCCUGAGAUUGUGCAGCAGGUUUGUAGCAGAACAGAGGCCAGAACCAGUCUUUCCUGUUUCCAGACCAGGGCUUCUUCCCAGUACUGCACUAUGAACCCAAUUUUGAGCCUGUGCAUAAGCCUGUUGACCUCUCUAGAGGGUAGGCUCUGGAAGUAGGUAAACUAAGUGGUAGGCUUUGAAUAGUGGGCAUUGUUAAUCAAAGGGGAAGGAGUGAAGACAGCAAGGCUAGCUAGUAAAAAUAAAAUCAACUAUGUUAAGCAACUUUAGGAGAAAGUCAAGUUCAUGAGACUUUAUAGAGACAAAACAGGAAGAAGCAGCUAGCAGAACUGCAGUGUUUUGCAUUUUUGUGACCACAAAUGUUAGGUGAGCCCGGAACACAGUGAAAUUGACCAAGUAGGGUUAAGGUUUGAGUAAGGGCUAAACUGUUGAAAUGCUAUUCCUGGUCACUCUGGCAACUGGGUCUCUUUCCCAUGCUGAAGGCAUUAAAAUAAGAUAAAACAUGCAAAUGCACCAGAUCAGAAUCAAAGGUGUAGUCAUACAAAGUCUGGAUUGCUCCAUUUUAAGGAAAGGUCUAGAAGUUUAUGCCUCAGAAAGCAAAUGAAGACAUGAGGGGAAGAAUUUGAAUUACAUAUAUGAAGAUUAAAUUAGUCCUGCAAACUUGCAUACUCAUUUUUCUUCCCAUUGACUCUGGUCACACGCAUCGUAGAUAAUGAAUCAUGUAGUUGCGUGCUCUAUUGUCUUUCCUGUUCUACUCAAUAAUACAGUUGCCAGUAAGAAAACAUGCUCAUUCUUCUAGGGAUCUAUCUAAAUUGGUCUGGGUUGUAGAAUAUAGAGCAACUUGCUGCUUAGAUGAGUGGUUCCCAAAGUUUAACAUGCAUCAGGGGCACCUGGAAGGAAUCGGCAGCUGCUACAUAGCAGAUUUUGAGAACACUCAACUGGGAGUCUCCACUCCCUAAAGCAGGAGCCCAAAGCAGAAAUCACAAUGUUGGGCCAGGGUCACUGGGCAUAUACUUUAUUCUAGGCCCAUCACCCAAACAGGUGUGUUAAAUUUGUCCCCCUUUCUCUUCUUUGAAGUUGUAACCAUGGUACUAUUUGUUUUGCGUUGUCUGCACUGUGUCUGGGGAAGUACACCUUUUUGUGUGUGUACUAGCACCUGCUGGGAUGCACAGUCAUAGCUGUAGAGCUGGAAGGCCUUGAGAGACCACAGAGCCCUUCAUUCCGUUCUUUUUUGCAUAGCAGUGCCUCUUUUUAUAGAGGAUGUAUUAGGCUGUUCUCGCACUGCUAUAAAGAAAUACCUGAGACUGUGUGAUAUGGUUUGGGUCUGUGUCCCUGCCCAAAUCUCAUGUCAAAUUGUAACCCCCAGUGUUGGAAGUGGGGCCUGGUGGGAGGUGAUUAGAUCCUGGGGGCAGAUUUCCCCUUUGGUGUUCUUGUGGUAGUAAAUUAUUGUGAGAUCUGGUUCUUUAAAAGUGUAUGGCACCUCCCUGCCUCUCUCUUCCUUCUGCUCAGGCCAUGUAAGAAGUACCUGCUUCCCCUUUGCCUUCUGCCGUGAUUCUAAGUUUCCUGAGGCCUCUCCAGCCAUGCUUCCUGUACAGCCUGUGGAACUGUGAGUGAGCCACCCAUGUAAGACGUGACUUAUUCCUCCUUGCCUUCCGCCAUGAUUGUGAGGCCUCCCUAGCCAUUCAGAACUGUGAGGGUUCCACACUCCAGAGUCUCCCUUUAUCUAGUUCUUGGGAGUCUAGUGCAGCUGAAGAUGAGGUACUGCGGAUGAAGAGGAAGACAAGGUACUGUGGAUGAAGAGAAACCCAGAUAAUCCAGGCACAUUUUAUAGACAAGGCCUCAACGACCCCAAAGGAACCUUUGAAAUCACCCUUUUCCUGGGUUCAUGACGACUUGUAAAUGAUACCAUCCAUCCCUGCUUAUUCAUACUUAUUAAAUACCAGAAUAAAGAGAUUAGAGCUCACGAGGGGCUUCCUCCCCAUCACUCUGGGGCUACUUGGC
Molecule: long non-coding RNA, 3042 nt
Organism: Pongo pygmaeus (Bornean orangutan)
Lineage: Eukaryota; Metazoa; Chordata; Mammalia; Primates; Hominidae
Exons: 3
Source: RefSeq, a predicted model, not a curated record